AGUGGCGAACUGGUGAGUAACACGUGGGUAACCCCUCCUUGAAGUAGGGGAUAACACUUGGAAACAGGUGCUAAUACCGUAUAACAACCAAAACCACCUGGUUUUGGUUUAAAAGAUGGCUUCGGCUAUCACUUUAGGAUGGACCCGCGGCGUAUUAGCUUGUUGGUAAGGUAACGGCCUACCAAGGCAAUGAUACGUAGCCGACCUGAGGGGGUAAUCGGCCACAUUGGGACUGAGACACGGCCCAAACUCCUACGGGAGGCAGCAGUAGGGAAUCUUCCACAAUGGACGAAAGUCUGAUGGAGCAACGCCGCGUGAGUGAUGAAGGGUUUCGGCUCGUAAAACUCUGUUGUUGGAGAAGAACAGGUGUGAGAGUAACUGUUCACAUCUUGACGGUAUCCAACCAGAAAGCCACGGCUAACUACGUGCCAGCAGCCGCGGUAAUACGUAGGUGGCAAGCGUUGUCCGGAUUUAUUGGGCGUAAAGCGAGCGCAGGCGGUUUCUUAGGUCUGAUGUGAAAGCCUUCGGCUUAACCGGGGAAGUGCAUCGGAAACCAGGAGACUUGAGUGCAGAAGAGGACAGUGGAACUCUAUGUGUAG
RNAcentral lists this ribosomal RNA (599 nucleotides) under uncultured bacterium. RNAcentral describes it as "bacterial SSU rRNA". It matches the Rfam family "Bacterial small subunit ribosomal RNA", at positions 94 to 678 of the family's 1533-position model. The record is from RNAcentral.